Molecule: ribosomal RNA, 119 nt
Filed under: Helianthus annuus (common sunflower)
Lineage: Eukaryota; Viridiplantae; Streptophyta; Magnoliopsida; Asterales; Asteraceae
Source: RNAcentral
GGUUGUGAUCAUACCAGCAGUAAUGCACCGGAUCCCAUCAGAACUCCGCAGUUAAGCGUGCUUAGGCGAGAGUAGUACUAGGAUGGGUGACCCCUUGGGAAGUCCUCGUGUUGCAACCC